AUGGUGGGGUUGCAGCCGCGCGCUGCUCGCGGCGGCCGGCGACAUCGCGAAUUCCAUCCUGGAGCUCCAUCUCCGUCGUUUUUGCCACGCACAACCAUGAAGCGCAGGGUCUGGCGUGGCUUCCUGCAUCGACAGCCGACGGUCGUUAAUGGUCCAGUGCCCUCCACCGGAGGAGCUGUUAGUGCUCGCGUAGGGGCGUUCUGGAGAGGAUUUUCUGCUCGGAUAGGAUCUAGAGAGGUUGGCGGCUUCGUCUUCCAAUUCCCACACUGCCGAGCGAACAGGAGCUGCGGCUGCUCCUGUGGUAUGCAUGCUAUCACCGUUUUUUGUGAUUGCUUCUGUUUUUCUCUCUAG
RNAcentral lists this ribosomal RNA (351 nucleotides) under Triticum aestivum (bread wheat). RNAcentral describes it as "partial small subunit ribosomal RNA". Lineage: Eukaryota; Viridiplantae; Streptophyta; Magnoliopsida; Poales; Poaceae. The record is from RNAcentral.